AAGGCCUUAGCUUAAAGUUAAAGUAUUUGGGUUGCAUUCAAGAGAUGUAAGAUAAAGUCUUGCAGGUUUUA
RNAcentral lists this transfer RNA (71 nucleotides) under Schistometopum gregorii. Its description in RNAcentral is "tRNA-Ala". It matches the Rfam family "tRNA". Rfam says of the family: Transfer RNA (tRNA) molecules are approximately 80 nucleotides in length. Their secondary structure includes four short double-helical elements and three loops (D, anti-codon, and T loops). Further hydrogen bonds mediate the characteristic L-shaped molecular structure. tRNAs have two regions of fundamental functional importance: the anti-codon, which is responsible for specific mRNA codon recognition, and the 3' end, to which the tRNAs corresponding amino acid is attached (by aminoacyl-tRNA synthetases). tRNAs cope with the degeneracy of the genetic code in two manners: having more than one tRNA (with a specific anti-codon) for a particular amino acid; and 'wobble' base-pairing, i.e. permitting non-standard base-pairing at the 3rd anti-codon position. Lineage: Eukaryota; Metazoa; Chordata; Amphibia; Gymnophiona; Dermophiidae. The record is from RNAcentral.